AACGCAUCUUGCACUGUGCUUGCACAGUAUGUCUGUUUGAGAAUCUAUUGUACCCUUGUGCGGUCUUUGCUGCACAGAACUGGGGCGUCUCCUGCGAAGGGGUGCUCUGAAAAACAGCUGCUCCGGUCUUUCCGGCGCGCAGUGCUAGAGUGGAACACUUGUUUCUCGCAGCGCAGCGUGAGGCAGUCUCUCGGUCUUUAUUAAAGACCGCGACGCAGGCCUUUGGCUUGAACACUUGGUCUCAAAUCAGGCAGGAGGACCCGCUGAACUUAA
Molecule: unclassified non-coding RNA, 273 nt
Filed under: uncultured fungus
Lineage: Eukaryota; Fungi
Description: partial contains 5.8S rRNA and ITS2
Source: RNAcentral